This is a non-coding RNA of Pelobates cultripes (western spadefoot toad), 293 nucleotides long. NCBI's taxonomy places the organism in Eukaryota, Metazoa, Chordata, Amphibia, Anura, Pelobatidae. The record is from the annotation of a GenBank genome assembly.
GGUGACAGAGUAAGGGGAUGACUGGUGGCAGAGUGAGGGGGUGACUAGGGACAGAGUGAGGGAGGGAGGGGGUCACUAGUGACAGAGUGAGGGAGGGGUGACUGUCACUAGUCACUCCCUCCCUCACUCUGUCCCUAGUCACCACCUCACUCUGUCCCUAGUCACCCCCUCCCUCACUCUGUCACUAGUCACCCCUUCCCUCCCUCUGUCACUAGUCACCCCUUCCUUCCCUAACUCUGUCACUAGUGACCCCUUCCCUCACUCUGUCACUAGUCACACCCUCCUUCUCUCUG